AACGAACGCUGGCGGCAUGCCUAACACAUGCAAGUCGAACGAGACCUUCGGGGCUAGUGGCGCACGGGUGCGUAACGCGUGGGAACCUGCCCUUAGGUUCGGAAUAACUCCCCGAAAGGGGUGCUAAUACCGGAUAAUGUCUUCGGACCAAAGAUUUAUCGCCUUUGGAUGGGCCCGCGUUGGAUUAGCUAGUUGGUAGGGUAAAAGCCUACCAAGCCGACGAUCCAUAGCUGGUCUGAGAGGAUGAUCAGCCACACUGGGACUGAGACACGGCCCAGACUCCUGCGGGAGGCAGCAGUGGGGAAUAUUGGACAAUGGGCGAAAGCCUGAUACAGCAAUGCCGCGUGAGUGAUGAAGGCCUUAGGGUUGUAAAGCUCUUUUACCCGGGAUGAUAAUGACAGUACCGGGAGAAUAAGCGCCGGCUAACUCCGUG
Molecule: ribosomal RNA, 433 nt
Filed under: uncultured bacterium
Lineage: Bacteria
Description: partial 16S ribosomal RNA
Rfam family: Bacterial small subunit ribosomal RNA
Source: RNAcentral